Long non-coding RNA from Triticum aestivum (bread wheat), 2250 nucleotides. RefSeq lists it as uncharacterized. Lineage: Eukaryota; Viridiplantae; Streptophyta; Magnoliopsida; Poales; Poaceae. The record is from RefSeq and is a predicted model, not a curated record. The transcript has 2 exons.
UCACGCAAGCGAGACACGCAAAAAGGAAUCAUCGGCAGGGCAGGCGCGCCUGUCCGCGCUCCGCCACCGCCACGACGCCCUCGCAUCUGCGCAAUCAGAAACCACCUAUGCUCACGCAUCUCCCACCUCGACCCCCGUCCACCGCCCAACCGCCGGCCGCCGGGCCCUGGCUCAUACGCCCGCCACCCACCGCGUCCCAGGGCGGUGUCCCUCGGUGGCUCCCCCGCCCCCGUGCCUCCUGCAGCGCCCUAGCGCGCCCUCCAUCAGCGGCGCCCCCGGCCAGCACGACCUCCCUCGGCGGCGUCCAGCCCGCGAUCCACCGUUGAGCCAGGUAGCACUUCUUUUUCUACUUUUGUUACCAAGUCACAAAACAAUUCUUCAGACCAAUCUGGUCAGGGACAUUGGAAAACUCAAAGAUGGAAAGAUGUUCGUGAAGUUUGUUCUGUGCUUCGGGUUUUAGCAUUACCUGGUUUGAACAGUGGACUUACAUCUUUGGAACAACUUGGAAAUGUCACCCGGAUUGAUUCUUCUCUUAAAAGUCUGGAAUCAUUUGCUUCCAGCUCUCUUACUGGGUAAUAGAAAAAAAUUCUUGCCACAUUUGUGUGUUUACCUUGGUUCUUAAAGUUCAUCCAGAAACACCUUAACAAAUGAACACAGACUGACUGGUACUAAUUAUUUGCAGAUUUCUUAUGCUUAAUGUUGGCACUGCCCUAACUACUUUGAGAAUAUUCAGUUGGACAGAUAGUGAAGCAAUGACUAAAGUAAUACCCUUUUGUGGUCCAUUGAUUCACCUUGCUGUUUCAACAAACGGGGCUGAGCUGAGACAGUUUGUUAGAAAGGAUCUAUUUUCCUCUAUAACAUAGGGCUUAUCUGUUGAGUUGAAUGCCGUUGUUAGUGCAGAGCUUCUUGGACUUUGUCGCGAAAUAUAUCUUAAUCUAUCAGACAAAGAUCCUGCACCCAAUCAGGGGAGCCAUCUUCAUUGGUUGCAAGUAGAUAUAAGAAGACAAUGUUAAAUUUAUGGGCAAACUCAAUCCGUCUUGACAAGGUGCCAAGGUCGUUGAGCUGACCGAUCAACUCUCAAAUCAGUGGGAUGACCAGCUGGUGAGGCAAACUUUUAUCCCGGAAGACACUCAUGUGAUCCUUCGCAUCCCAAUCUGCGAACACUAUGAGGAUUUGAUAGAUGGCAACCUGACAGCAAGGGCAUGUUUUUGGUGACGUUAUCCUAAAGAGUUCACCUUGAUCUGCUACAGAACCAGAAGACCAAGCCACCGGGAGAGUGCUCAUCGUGUAACAUGGGGCAAGACAAUUUAUGUCGUGAUCUCUGGAAAGUGUACUGCCUGCCAAAGAUCCAUCAUUUUUUGUGGCGUUUUGCACACAAUAUUCACCACCUUCCGAGAGAUGUUGAAAGGAUUGGGGUGGUGCUUAACACAGAUUGUGUGCUAUGUCAUAGGCUUCCUGAGGAUGGUGCACACUUGUUUCUAUGCUAUAAGGAAGUCGGGAAAAUGUGGAGAGCUUGCAACUUGGAACAUGUCUGUAGCCAACUGUUGGACUGCCAAACCCCGAAGGAGGUUCUUCUAGCCCUGUUGAAAAUGUCAAAUGAAGUGAAGACGUGAGCUAUUGCUCUUCUAUCGUCCUGGUGGAGUGAGAGAAAGAAAGUGAAUCACAACCAAAAGCACAUGUCUGAGAUGGAAUUUUAAUUUAACAUCGCUAGGUGUGCUCAAUGGAAAGAGUUCCUCGAGGCUAAACCUCCUGGUGUGCAGAAACAUGUUUCUUCCUGGUUGAAACCCCCCACUGAUUUUAUCAAACUAAACGUGGAUGCAGCGUUCCGAGAUGAAUCAAAGGAGGGUGGGUGGGGCCUGAUUGCUAGGGAUGCUGACGGAGAUUGUGCUACUGUCGGACGUCUAACAGCUCAGUCCAGCGCUUUGCAAGCUGAGGCUACAACCCUUCUGCAGGCAAUCCAAUUUGAUGAAAUACAAGGUGUGGGGCGUGCGAUUUUUGAAACCGAUUCCAUGGGUCUGCAACAGUAAGUUACCUCUACAUCACCAGACCGGUCUCCGUUGGGGGUACUCUUCCGUCAAGCCGAAUAUCUACUCCAGUUAGGUUUCACAGAGGCCAAAGUCAUGUACUGUCCGAGAGCUUGUAAUAAACCAACACAUGUGUUGGCGAACCUUGGUAGCCGGAGUGCAUUGGGAGCCAGGUCUUCUGGCCUCCAGACCUCCCGCUGGAUGUAACCUGGGUUGUGACCGCCAA